UAAUCUGGGUUUGUGAUCUGCCUCCUCUCCUGCAUGAAUCUUAAUGUGGUGACCCCGUCUCUGCAAGCUAAAUUUCAUCAGCCUUUUGCAGCUUGUGCUCAUCUUUCCAAAUACCAAAGGUUAUUUUGUCCGCGUGACUUUCACCAUUUUCAUUAGCUCCUAUUAAAUCUGCCCUCUAACUCGUUCUGAUUAGAUGUGACCAGCAUACUGAUGUUCUUUGCAUGUACACAGUCUAUUUCUGUCUGCGGCCCAUUUUUUGCACAUCAGGCUGUGUUUGCAGGUAAUCCUGCAGAUGUGGCACUGAGGUGCAUC
This is a long non-coding RNA of Thalassophryne amazonica, 312 nucleotides long. RefSeq lists it as uncharacterized. The record is from RefSeq and is a predicted model, not a curated record. The transcript has 3 exons. NCBI's taxonomy places the organism in Eukaryota, Metazoa, Chordata, Actinopteri, Batrachoidiformes, Batrachoididae.